This 379-nucleotide RNase P RNA is filed under the name Alphaproteobacteria bacterium. RNAcentral describes it as "RNase P RNA component class A". It matches the Rfam family "Bacterial RNase P class A". Rfam says of the family: Ribonuclease P (RNase P) is a ubiquitous endoribonuclease, found in archaea, bacteria and eukarya as well as chloroplasts and mitochondria. Its best characterised activity is the generation of mature 5'-ends of tRNAs by cleaving the 5'-leader elements of precursor-tRNAs. The record is from RNAcentral. Lineage: Bacteria; Pseudomonadati; Pseudomonadota; Alphaproteobacteria.
UCAGUUGGCCGGAUGACCGCGGCGCCUGCGGGCGUCGAGGAAAGUCCGGGCUCCAUCGAAAUACGGUGACGGCUAACGGCCGCCGGGGGCGACCCCAGGGAAAGUGCAACAGAAAGCAGACUGCCCGGCCACGGCCGGGUCAAGGUGAAAGGGUGCGGUAAGAGCGCACCGCGGCCCCGGCAACGGGGACGGCAUGGCAAACCCCACCGGGAGCAAGACCAAAUAGGGACGACGCGGGCCUUCGCGCCCAGGCCGCAUUUCGAGGCCGGUCGUCCGGGUUGGUUGCUGGAGGCGCCGGGCAACCGGCGUCGCAGAGGAAUGGUCAUCGGGCAGCGGCAACGCUGCGCCACAGAACCCGGCUUACAGGCUGACUGAUGCU